This 310-nucleotide ribosomal RNA is filed under the name Lysinibacillus sp. RNAcentral describes it as "bacterial SSU rRNA". It matches the Rfam family "Bacterial small subunit ribosomal RNA", at positions 1122 to 1433 of the family's 1533-position model. Lineage: Bacteria; Bacillati; Bacillota; Bacilli; Caryophanales; Bacillaceae. The record is from RNAcentral.
CAUUUAGUUGGGCACUCUAAGGUGACUGCCGGUGACAAACCGGAGGAAGGUGGGGAUGACGUCAAAUCAUCAUGCCCCUUAUGACCUGGGCUACACACGUGCUACAAUGGACGAUACAAACGGUUGCCAACUCGCGAGAGGGAGCUAAUCCGAUAAAGUCGUUCUCAGUUCGGAUUGUAGGCUGCAACUCGCCUACAUGAAGCCGGAAUCGCUAGUAAUCGCGGAUCAGCAUGCCGCGGUGAAUACGUUCCCGGGCCUUGUACACACCGCCCGUCACACCACGAGAGUUUGUAACACCCGAAGUCGGUGA